Long non-coding RNA from Prosopis cineraria, 1284 nucleotides. RefSeq lists it as uncharacterized. The record is from RefSeq and is a predicted model, not a curated record. NCBI's taxonomy places the organism in Eukaryota, Viridiplantae, Streptophyta, Magnoliopsida, Fabales, Fabaceae. The transcript has 3 exons.
UUCUAUUUUGCAUGACUUUAAUAUAGUAUAUUACUUAUUAAUAUAGGGUGAGAACAUAUGCAAAUUGUUAGCAAAUAGCCUAAAUCAUCAUGCGUUGCUAUCGGUCGGGUGUUAAAUUUGCCGAAAAACAUGCUACAUAAUAUGCCACUUCCUACAUCCUAUGUAUAGGUUACUAUUGAUGUGCCAAAUGUAACAUCCAAGAAAAUUUAACAUUGGUUUAUUAACCUAAUGAGGGUAAUUAGUGAGUUAAUGAGGUGUGUUGCUAGAGGGGCCUAACGUGGCAUAAUUGCUGUAAUUUCAACCCUAAAAGUAGGUUUGGAUCAAUGGCGGGCCACCUAGGUAAGAAAAAAGGAAGAAAAAGGAAAGAAUUGUCCUCUGUGUCAUAUGCCGCAGUACGUGGAUAGUUCACUAUGGCACACAGGGACAAUUUGGAAUAAUGGGUUCCUCUAUGCCAUGUGCCGUGGUGGAGAGCAGCACGUGCCGCAGUGCAUGACUAAAAUUCUAAUAUAUUAGUUAUGUUCUGCAUACAAAAAACAGAAGGAGAGGAGGAGAGGAAAGCGAAGAUCUCAACUUAGGCUUUGCUAGGGCACGGCAUUGGCUUCCAUUGUUGGCAUUUUGAAGCUCCCAAACAUCCAAGUACCAAAUGUGGGUCUAAAGGAGAAUCGGGUCACCCAGGGAUAGAAGAGGAAGAAUUUCUGAAGGGAGUGAUUCUGUGCCACACGCCAUGGUGUGGGGUUAGUCCGUCGCAGCGUAUGGGUGACAACACGCCUGGAAGAAGCUCUCUGUGCCAUGCGCCACGAAGCAUUGUGUGUCCGUCGUGGUGCAUGGCUAAAAUUUUGUAGUAUUAAGUCACAAAUUUAAAGUGAAAAAAGAAAGGGAAACAAAAGAGAACGAGAGAGUGGCGGAAAAGCUGAGUUAGGGCUUGAAGAAACUGACUAUUGAGAGUAAUUUAGAGCUUAUAAACACCUAAGGGAAUAGCUCAAGAAAUGGAGACAGAGAAAAACAACUCGAAGCUUAGGAUCACGAUCCAUUUGUAAUAGGCCUCUUUAUUUUAGGUAUUUAUGUGUAUGAAAAUUUUGUUUGCCAACUAGGAUUUCCCUUUUUGUUACUUACUUGCAUUAAGUGAAAUGUAAAUUGUAAUGGUAUUUUGGGCCCUAGGGAGGGAGUUGAUUAUUAUGUGUUAUGAUGGUAGGGCCAAAAUACUAUUGCAAGUAAGGGUAGUGAAUAUUAAGUAAUGAUUUGGGAAAUUUUGAUGAAAAUUAUGGUAAACUCUCCCUUCCUAUG